CUGGAUGUGAUUCAGGUUCUCUUUUGUACACAUUGCACACUCAUCCUCCUUGCGGCCUAAAGCUUUUUUUUUUUUAGUUGAGUCAUUUAAUCAAAAAGACUUUUUUUAGAAAAAAAAUUUCCUCUUGAGCCAUCAUGCACAUCUGACUGCAGCCCCAGCGAGCCCUUCCUCCCUUGUCUGACUGCUCUUCUUCUCGAUUUCUUCUUGUUCUGCCUUCUCAGUUUGCAGCCCUGACCCACGCUGUGUGUCUGUGUGUCUGGCCCUUGGUGACUGUCCGUGUUUCUGUUCCUGUCAUUGUAACUGUGACUUUUCUUUCUGUCUGCCCCCCCCUUCCUACUGGUUCAUGCUUCUCCCCCAUUCCCACCCUCUCUGCCCGGCCUCCCGCUCCCGCCCUUUCUCCUCAUGCACCCGGCCUCGUCUCUGUAGUCUCUGCACUUGUCUCCCAUUAAGGUCCCAUCCAUGGGGGGGCGGAAGCGGGAGCGCAAGGCUGCCGUCGAGGAGGACACCUCCCUGUCGGAGAGUGAGGGGCCCCGCCAGCCCGAUGGGGAUGAGGAGGAGAGCACAGCCCUCAGCAUCAACGAGGAGAUGCAGCGCAUGCUCAACCAGCUGAGGGAGUAUGAUUUUGAGGACGACUGUGACAGCCUGACUUGGGAGGAGACUGAGGAGACCCUGCUGCUUUGGGAGGAUUUCUCAGGCUAUGCCAUGGCAGCUGCAGAGGCCCAGGGAGAGCAGGAAGAUAGCCUGGAGAAGGUGAUUAAAGAUACGGAGUCCCUGUUCAAAACCCGGGAGAAGGAGUAUCAGGAGACCAUUGACCAGAUAGAGCUGGAGUUGGCCACGGCCAAGAACGACAUGAACCGGCACCUGCACGAGUACAUGGAGAUGUGCAGCAUGAAGCGCGGCCUGGACGUGCAGAUGGAGACCUGCCGCCGGCUCAUCACCCAGUCUGGAGACCGAAAGUCUCCUGCUUUCGCUGCGGUCCCGCUUAGCGACCCGCCGCCGCCGCCGCCAAGCGAGGCUGAGGACUCCGAUCGCGAUGUCUCAUCUGACAGCUCCAUGAGAUAGAGACCUGCCUCCCCCUUGCACCCGAGGCCCUCGCAGCGGGGACCUCAGCGAGGCAGAGGGUGGGGCUGCACAGAGGGGAACAUCAGCUGCAGCUCUGCACCAGGCCGGCCCCUGGGGACUGGGGCGCUCCUCCCUCAGGCUUUCUCCCUCGGUCUUGGCUUCUCCAGGGCUCUGGGGUGUCUGGAGCUAGGCUUGGCCCUACCAUUCUGGGGCCAUUUCCACCACAGUUGGGGCUCUCCUGCCUUCACGCGUGGGUGUCUGCUACUUCCCCAUCUUUAAAAUGCUGCCAGAGCGAUUGCGGCCCCUCACCUUGUCCACGUAUCAGGAAUGUGAAUGUGGGACCUUUCCUCCAUCCCUGUUGUCCGGAGCCAGCUCACUGUCUUCCACACUGGUGCUAACUGGCCCAGGCACUGGAGUGGAAUAGAAUGCAGCUGGAGGCUACGCAUGGCCUCUGCAGCACACGCAGCUGGAGAGGGCUUCUGUCCCUGUCAGCGGCAGAGGGCGUUGGGGCUGGCCGGGGCACCUUGUCCCUGCUAUGGUCCACAUGCUCACGCUGUCCACCUGCCAGGUGGAGUGUAUGUGGCUGUGGCCCUCCCUCGUGGAGGUGCCGUGCUUUAAAGAGGCCUUAGUGCCCGGGAUGGGCACAGUGUUUUGAAGGGAGGUGGGAGCUCUUGCUCUCCUGGUCACUGCAGAAUGACAGAGAAGGUGAAGCUCCGUGCAUGUGUGCGCGGGUGUAUGUGCGCUCAGGGUCUCUGUUUAAGUAUCAGCUAAAGAUGUGCCCCCUCCAUGUCUGUCAUACACUGAGACCAACAGGCUACAGUGUCCCUGAUUCUUGGAAAAGCCUGGAGAAGCUGGGGAGAUGCGGUUCACAAUGCCUCGGUAUAGGAGGCUGUGUUGAGCUGACAUUCAAAUGGAUUCUUUAAUAAUAAUGAAACUGGCGAGUAUUUAUUGUGCACUUUGGUGUCACUGUCUCAAGCACUUCCUAAUAUUCACUAGUUUGAACUCUGAGGUAGGUACUUUUUUUUUUUUGAGAUGGAGUCUCAUACUCUGUUGCCUAGGCUGGAGUGCAGUGGUGUGGUCUCAGCUCACUGCAGCCUCUGCCUCCGGGGUGCAAGCGAUUCUCCUGCUUCAGCACGCCUGUAGCUGGGACUAUAGGCAUGUGCCAUGAAGCCUGGCUGAUUUUUGUAAUUUUAGUAGAGACGGAGUUUCACCAUGUUGGCCAGGCUGGUCUCAAACUCCUGACCUCAGGUGAUACACCCACCUUGGCCUCCCAAAGUGCUGGGGUUACAGGCGUGCGCGCUCUACCGAGGUAUGUACUUUUGUCUCCACUAGGUAAGCGCAUGUGCAAAGUGAGGCCCGGGAGUAACUGCCCAAAGCAACCGAGCCAUUCAGUGGCAGAGCCAGGGGUCUGGACCUAGGUCCCAGCUACACGCCUUGCCCCUACCCAAGCUCCCCUAAGGACGAUGAUGGAAAUAAGUCACCCUGACACAUCUCAGUUCAUCUUCCUCAAAACUAUGCGAG
RNAcentral lists this small RNA (2583 nucleotides) under Pan troglodytes (chimpanzee). RNAcentral's name for it is "retained intron". The record is from RNAcentral. Lineage: Eukaryota; Metazoa; Chordata; Mammalia; Primates; Hominidae.